CCUACGGUGGGCAGCAGUGAGGGAUAUUGGUCAAUGGGGGAAACCCUGAACCAGCAACGCCGCGUGAGGGAAGACGGUUUUCGGAUUGUAAACCUCUGUCCUCUGUGAAGAUAAUGACGGUAGCAGAGGAGGAAGCUCCGGCUAACUACGUGCCAGCAGCCGCGGUAAUACGUAGGGAGCGAGCGUUAUCCGGAUUUAUUGGGUUUAAAGGGUGCGUAGGCGGGCUGUUAAGUCAGCGGUAAAAGCCCGGGGCUCAACCCCGGCGAGCCGUUGAAACUGGCUGUCUUGAGAUGUCGAGAGGUAUGCGGAAUGCGCAGUGUAGCGGUGAAAUGCUUAGAUAUUGCGCAGAACUCCGAUUGCGAAGGCAGCAUACCGGCGGCGAUCUGACGCUGAGGCACGAAAGCGUGGGUAUCGAACAGGAUUAGAUACCCCGGUAGUC
RNAcentral lists this ribosomal RNA (439 nucleotides) under uncultured bacterium. RNAcentral describes it as "partial 16S ribosomal RNA". It matches the Rfam family "Bacterial small subunit ribosomal RNA", at positions 338 to 795 of the family's 1533-position model. The record is from RNAcentral.